GACGAACGCUGGCGGCGUGCUUAACACAUGCAAGUCGAACGGAAAGGCCCUGCUUUUGUGGGGUGCUCGAGUGGCGAACGGGUGAGUAACACGUGAGUAACCUGCCCUUGACUUUGGGUUAACUUCAGGAAACGGGGGCUAAUACCGGUUAGGAGCUCCGGCUGCAUGGUGGGGGUGGGAAGGUUUCGGCGGUUGGGGAUGGACUCGCGGCUUAUCAGCUUGUUGGUGGGGUAGUGGCUUACCAAGGCUUUGACGGGUAGCCGGCCUGAGAGGGUGACCGGCCACAUUGGGACUGAGAUACGGCCCAGACUCCUACGGGAGGCAGCAGUGGGGAAUAUUGCACAAUGGGCGGAAGCCUGAUGCAGCAACGCCGCGUGCGGGAUGACGGCCUUCGGGUUGUAAACCGCUUUCGCCUGUGACGAAGCGUGAGUGACGGUAAUGGGUAAAGAAGCACCGGCUAACUACGUG
This 468-nucleotide ribosomal RNA is filed under the name uncultured bacterium. Its description in RNAcentral is "partial 16S ribosomal RNA". It matches the Rfam family "Bacterial small subunit ribosomal RNA", at positions 28 to 507 of the family's 1533-position model. The record is from RNAcentral.